This 86-nucleotide transfer RNA is filed under the name Tepidanaerobacter acetatoxydans Re1. It matches the Rfam family "tRNA". Rfam says of the family: Transfer RNA (tRNA) molecules are approximately 80 nucleotides in length. Their secondary structure includes four short double-helical elements and three loops (D, anti-codon, and T loops). The record is from Rfam by way of RNAcentral. Lineage: Bacteria; Bacillati; Bacillota; Clostridia; Thermosediminibacterales; Tepidanaerobacteraceae.
GCCGGGGUGGCGGAACAGGCAGACGCACAGGACUUAAAAUCCUGCGGGAGUCAAAUCCCAUACCGGUUCGAUUCCGGUUCCCGGCA